This 497-nucleotide ribosomal RNA is filed under the name uncultured bacterium. RNAcentral describes it as "partial 16S ribosomal RNA". It matches the Rfam family "Bacterial small subunit ribosomal RNA", at positions 28 to 507 of the family's 1533-position model. The record is from RNAcentral.
GAUGAACGCUGGCGGCGUGCCUAAUACAUGCCAGUCGAGCGAACAGAUAAGGAGCUUGCUCCUUUGACGUUAGCGGCGGACGGGUGAGUAACACGUGGGUAACCUACCUAUAAGACUGGAAUAACUCCGGGAAACCGGGGCUAAUGCAGGAUAACAUGUUGAACCGCAUGGUUCUACAGUGAAAGGCGGCUUUGCUGUCACUUAUAGAUGGACCCGCGCCGUAUUAGCUAGUUGGUGAGGUAACGGCUCACCAAGGCAACGAUACGUAGCCGACCUGAGAGGGUGAUCGGCCACACUGGAACUGAGACACGGUCCAGACUCCUACGGGAGGCAGCAGUAGGGAAUCUUCCGCAAUGGGCGAAAGCCUGACGGAGCAACGCCGCGUGAGCGAUGAAGGUCUUCGGAUCGUAAAACUCUGUUAUUAGGGAAGAACAAAUGCGUAAGUAACUGUGCGCGUCUUGACGGUACCUAAUCAGAAAGCCACGGCUAACUACGUG